This 487-nucleotide ribosomal RNA is filed under the name uncultured bacterium. RNAcentral's name for it is "partial 16S ribosomal RNA". It matches the Rfam family "Bacterial small subunit ribosomal RNA", at positions 28 to 507 of the family's 1533-position model. The record is from RNAcentral.
GACGAACGCUGGCGGCGUGCUUAACACAUGCAAGUCGUACGAUGACCCGGCUCUUCGGAGCUGGUGAUUAGUGGCGAACGGGUGAGUAACACGUGGGUGACCUGCCCUGCACUCUGGGAUAAGCCCGGGAAACUGGGUCUAAUACUGGAUACGACCAGUGGCCGCAUGGUCUGCUGGUGGAAAGCCCUUCGGGGUGGUGUGGGAUGGGCCCGCGGCCUAUCAGCUUGUUGGUGGGGUGAUGGCCUACCAAGGCGACGACGGGUAGCCGGCCUGAGAGGGUGUCCGGCCACACUGGGACUGAGACACGGCCCAGACUCCUACGGGAGGCAGCAGUGGGGAAUCUUGCACAAUGGGCGAAAGCCUGAUGCAGCGACGCCGCGUGAGGGAUGACGGCCUUUGGGUUGUAAACCUCUUUCGGCAGGGAACAAGCCUGGGGGUUUUCUUCUGGGUGAGGGUACCUGCGGAAGAAGCACCGGCUAACUACGUG